GGAGAUUAUGGAAACUGUGAAGGAACUUGGCCAAGUUUAUAACUACAUGUGAUAAUCUGGAGACGGGUCUUCCUUUGUGAAAGGAGAGUUUAAGAGCAAUUACAUGAUUUGUUCUUGAUAUAGAUUGAUAGUAGUGCAUAAGCUGUAAAUAGUGUUGAAAGGUAAAUGGACUGUCAGAAGCUUGUUAGCGUAUCUAAAUGCCUUUGGGUAUGGUAAGGUUGAUCAUAUCCUUUCAUGGGAAAGGUUAGGCUGGAAAUGAUUCAAGUUGUGGUCAUCACUUAUAGGCAAAGUCCCUGUUUUACUGAAAGCCUCUAUUAUAAUGAAAAGUUGGAGUGGAAAAUGUAGGUUUACUGCACUGGAACCGUUAUAGCAGUACAUGGCUCAGGGCUUGGAUAAAUCGACUCCAGAUGCUUUUAUCUGGAAGCACUGGAUCCAAAUGCGGUUUGAGGGGAAGCUGGUUAAUGACCUGCUUAUUGCCAUUGGAGAGUUCCAUAAGGAAGCAGCACAGUUGAUGCCAGCAGGUAUGCUCUUGGCAUUCCUCAGAGGCUAAAGAACUGGAUGGAGUUCUGGAUUAUCCAUGUAUGCUUUGGUUCUACGUGUGAACCUCCGAGGAGGGUAGCAGUUGUGUGUGUUGUCUAUAACACCAGCUAUACAGCUUAGGGGUAGAGGUCUACAAGCCAGCAUCUUCCCCAAGCACAGAUCCUCGAGGUAACAUAUUGCUGCUGUCUCCUUUGCUUCCGCAUGCUUGAACUCAAUUUGUUAGCAGUGAACUCCAGAUACUUGCUGUGACCCAAAUUCAGUGCUCUGCUUCCGAGUAUCUAUAGCCACAGACUUGCUUAAGCUGCCGUCAGUGUAUCAGUUGAGUAUCCUGAAAUCUUAAUUUAUACUUGGUGCCAGACAGAGGUACGUGAUGAUUUGGCUUCCAGCUGUUUGCUAUAUGUCAGCACAGCUUUUACUUACUACCUGGAGACUGUAACUACUUGAGUGCUGUCAGAAAUCACUUGACUCUGUUCAGCUCUAGUGUGACAUCUCAAUUCAUCCCUGGGAAAAGUGAUGUGAGUGAACAGCUCAGAACUGGCUCUACCAGGUUAAAUGUUUGGUUUUGCUACUAAUUUAGAAGGAUAAAGCUAUCACUAGCAUAGAUGCUGACCAGCAUGAUGCUCUAAGCGUGGCCCCUUGGGUAUUCGCCUCUAUUUUGACUUUCUCUUCCCUGUGCGACUAUUCACUGCUAUUAAAAUGCUAUUCAGACUUCCCUAAGGUUAAUGGAGUACCACUGAAGAAUUAAAGGUUAGAGCUGUGUUAUGAUUGUUGAGGCAUCAGUUUAUCCAUGUGGCAUCAUGCUCCAGCUGCCCCCUUUGCAAAACUCCUUACUGCUGCCUCUGAAACAGAGAGGAUCCUUGGGAUUCACGUUGUUCUCCCCAAGGGCUCUUCCUCCUCCAGGAUAAAGAUGGGCAAGUGUGGGAGCUGAUUUCCCACAGCAGCACUUGUUGCCCCUCCAUGAUCCCACAUUCCCAUAUCACAGCAUUUCCCCCUGUCUCAGCAGGGUGUAUUUUGCUUUGCCCCAGGAGUGUGGUAGCUGUUUGACAGAGAAAAAGGUGAUGAUAUCAGCCCUAGGGUUCUGCCACUUGCUUUCACCAUCCCAAAUCUUCCACCAAUGGAAGCAAACAGCUUGUAGUUGAGGUGUUUGGGUUAUUUCUGCAGUGUAGCAAUGGGAAUGGGAAGAGAAAUAGGCUUGGGGAUAAUGUGGUGGCUCAUAGGAGUAUGUGUUUAAGAUGUGGUCUGUCUUGUGGAAAGACUUACCAAGUAGUUCUGCUGCUCAGAGUUUACUUUUGCAGCAAGCUGGAUUCUUUGGCUCUUUCUCAAAUGGAAGUGAUGCAACACCAGGAUCUAGUCCUGGAGCUUCACCUCGAGCUUUUGCCCUUUCUCACCCCAAAGACACCAGAGAGAAUAAUGCAAUUCUUUUCCCCUCCUCAAUGCCUUUUGUAACAGUGGCAAAGCAGCCCGCUGGGUUUAACACUGCUCAAACGCAGUGGUGGCCGAGCAGCACAAUCAGCUAUCAGAGCAGGUCUUAAGAGACUCUUAAAACCUUUUCUGCUGGAAGCUGCCAGGGAGAUUAAGGGAGAUUAGCUGCUUUUUAAUUACUGUGAUGGUGGGGAGGCCGGACCACAACAGUGGCUCAGUGGUUGCAGUCUGCUCCUCGUCCCAAAUACCAAUAGACAGGUUUUUCUCCCUAAUGGUGACAAAAUACACUUUAAAUAUCCUGACUUUGUAACUGGCUCCCAAAGGAUCCAGUCAAUUAUUUUGAGUUUUGCUUAAAUAAAAGACUCUGAACGGGGUCUGCUCAUUGAAGGAGACACUUUGAGGCUGAAAAGUGAUUUUCUUCUUGGAUGUUUCAACCCAAAACUCAGCUUUUAAAAGGAGCGAAAGGCUCUUAUCAACUUUCGGUGCAAGUCAGUGACUUCAGUGCAUAUAGUCCGGUCUGAACAGCAGAUGAUGCUUCUGCCUCUACUUGCCCUGCAGUCAAAAGGUGACAGCCUGAUUUCCUUCCCCAAGCAGUGCGGAGACCUCCCAUGCUUGAGAAGACUUUUAGCUGUCCAUGGAGGAGAGAACUUGUGUUGCUGAGUCAUUUUCCCCUCUUAUCUGCCACUGUAAUUGGGAAGGCAAAGGAGCAGUGGAGGCUGAGUAUUGCCUUCAUCUCUCCCUCAUCAUUCCUCUCCUUCCUCCCGUCUCCCUCCCCUUGAUGUUUUGAUGUGCAAAACACUUUUCACUUCAGAAGCUGCUGUGUUGGGUAAUGGAAAAGAAAACAAACCCCUUGUAGCUUGUUACUCUUCACUAAAGCUGUAUUUUCUGCUCUGUCUUCCAGCUCACGCUCCUCCACAGCAGGAAAUGAGAGGAUGCUGGAAAGACCUUUAGGAAGAGAAAAGAGCUUAAUUACACAAAUAAACCCGUUUGUAGGAGUUUCUUGAGCCUUGGAGGCCCUGACCUUGGGGACCACUUUGCCAGGGUAGAAAGUUAGAGCCUGUUGGUUUGUUCUCAGUUAAUGGGAGAUGAUGUUCCAUCCCUGUGGGCUGGGGUGAUGUGCAUCUCGGAUGCAGCGCGCCUCAUUUAGAAGCAUUGAGCCUCAGUCAGUGUUUGAAUAUUAGACUUUCAAACUGCUGAAAUAACUUCUCUUUUAGAUGAUAGCAUAGACAGGAUCUGGAUAGCUUGUGGUUAAACACCAAUAUCUGGCUGGCUGGACACCAUCACCCGGUUAGGGGUGGUUUUUCAAGCUGUUUCUAUGAGCUGUUACCUCUGCUCUUACCAUAACAUUGUGUUGUGUGGUGUUUGUCUGGACCUUUAAUGUUCAUUAUCUCAUCCUCUACACCCUCAUGUGGUCCCAAAAGCUGGUUAUCCCUGUGUAGUGCUUGGAGUUGUGAGUGUCCAACCUUUGUCCACACUUUGGCCUUUGUUUCCUGUUUUGGCAUCCAACGUUGAAGCAUCCCUCCAGCGAUCCCAGACUCUGGUGUCCGUCUGAAUUCCCUUUGGUGUGUGUCCUGCAGUUGUUGUCUUGGAUACCUGACCACAGGAACGCUGAACUGAGGGGUGCAGACAGCCCUGGGCUGGAAAGGAGCAUCCAUGGGGAACGCUGUGACCUGCACAUGUGUUUUUAUAGGCAAGUCAAAUACUGACUAGACUAAAGCCCGUGGUGGUUACAGGCAUCGUUCCUGGCCUCUGGUGAUUCCCCAUCCUGCUCUUUCCACUACAGAUAAAUGGAUGAUCUUUGUUCAGCCUGGAGUGUGAUAUUUUCUUCCUUGGUACAAAUCAUCUCUGAUGGUUUCUGGGUUGAUGUGUAAGCCCCAUGCUGUACAUAAAUGGAUGAGUGACAUGAGGACUAUUACAAAUGUAGUUAUGUUGUAUGUAAUGUACAUAAGGAGAGAAUGUAUUUUGUUCAUUUUUUUUUCUUAAUAAAAAUGUACAUG
RNAcentral lists this long non-coding RNA (3959 nucleotides) under Strigops habroptila (Kakapo). RNAcentral's name for it is "lncRNA (ENSSHBG00005002198.1)". The record is from RNAcentral. Lineage: Eukaryota; Metazoa; Chordata; Aves; Psittaciformes; Psittacidae.